UAUUGGCGUUAUGAAUCCGUCCCAACGCGGAAAUGUGGGGUAUUUGUUGUGGUAACACGGAGUCGCCUCUCACUCCGUUAACAGCUAACUUUUAACAGAAACUCCUUUAAUGAACUCGGAAAUGUCAGUAACGAUUAAAAAUGGAAGCGAAGUUGACUUGUUGACGUUAUCUCAUGUUUUAGCUGGGGCAGCGCGCGAGGUCCGGAAAGUUCAGCACGCGCACUGAAGGAUGGACCGGACACGGUUUGUGUGUCUCUGUCUGCUUAUAUGUCUGAGUGGACCGUGUUUACAGUGUAAAGGAGGAAGCUCAGUCACUCUCCCCGAGUCUCUGCUCUUUGUCUCUACACUAGAUGGGAGUCUACACGCCAUUAGCAAACAAACUGGAGACAUCAAAUGGACUCUGAAGGAAGAUCCAAUCAUCCAAGUUCCAGUUUAUCUGCAGGAACCAGGUUUCCUUCCUGACCCUAAUGAUGGUAGUCUGUACAUGUUGGGAGAUAAACACAAACAGGGUCUAAUGAAACUUCCCUUCACUAUUCCAGAGUUGGUUCAGUCAUCUCCAUGCAGAAGCUCAGACGGCAUCCUGUACACAGGUAAAAAACAGGAUACAUGGUUUGUAGUGGAUCCUCAGACAGGGGAGAAACAGACGAGUUUAAGCACCGCGUCCUCUGAUUCCAUCUGUCCAUCAGCUCCUCUCCUAUACAUCGGACGUACCGAGUACAUGAUCACCAUGUUUGACACUAAGACACAGGAACUGCGCUGGAAUGCGACCUAUAACGAUUACUCCGCUCCUCUAUACGACGACCAGAAAUAUGAUUACAAGAUGUCCCACUUUGUCUCGAGCAGUGACGGUCUGGUGGUGACGGUGGACCGUGACUCGGGCGACAUGCUGUGGAUGCAGAAGUUCGAGUCGCCUGUAGCCGGAGUCUACCUGUGGAUUCAGGACGGUCUGCGGCGAGUGCCUCACCUCACCGUCGCUACGGAAACCCUGCGAUAUCUCACAUUCAUGGCACAAAAUACACACUCACACCCCAUGAGGUGGACCUACCAGUUUACAAAGGAGCAGCACAGCACCAAGACACAGCUUGUUCCAUCUCUGUAUGUGGGGAAAAUGGACUCUCACCUGUACGCCUCCACCUCUCUCGUCCAUGAAGGAGUCGCUGUAGUGCCUCACAGUCUUACACUGGCACGUAUUGAAGGGCCAACCACAGCGGGCGUGACGGUGGGGAAUGGGCGGAGCGAGUGUGAGAUUACGCCCAGCACCGACGUCAAGUUCCCACCAGGAAGCACCAACCCACUGCAGAACCAGUGGCUUCUGAUAGGUCAUCAUGAAGUUCCCCCUGUAGCCCACACCACCAUGCUGAGAGACUUCCCAGAGAACCUGCAACGCUCUGGUGACAUCAUCCCUCCUCAAGGUUCCCCUUCCUCAUACAGACCCGGAGCUCACUCGAUGCCCCCAUUAACACAUGGAGGUUCUUCCACUACCUUGCCUGACUCUUUGACCUCUGACCCUGUAACCUCAUUGUUGGUCACACUGCUGCUUGCCACACUGCUAGCUUUCUUGUUCACCUACAAGCGACACAUCAAAAAAACGCAGCAAUCAGAGGAAAUGAUGAAUUCAAGACCUUUAAUAGAUAACACCAGUCAGACCAGUCAGCUUUUACCCACAGGAAAUGACAUCACCUCAUCAGCUUACAGCAACAGCAAUCAGUCAGACCACAGCAGCUCGGUCUCGUCCAAUCAAACACGGCCACGUUCGGACACCCAGGACUCCGCCCCAACCAUUACAUCUAAUGUAUCCAGCGUGUCCGAGGGUGAGGCUAUGCCUCCCGACCUGGUGGAAGUGGGAAAAAUCUCCUUCAGCCCCUCUGAGGUUCUGGGACACGGUACGGAGGGCACCUUCGUCUUCAGAGGUCACUUUGACGGGCGACACGUAGCAGUGAAACGUAUCCUGCCUGAGUGUGUGGAGUUUGCUGAGCGUGAGGUUCAGUUGCUGCGUGAAUCAGACGAACAUCCCAACGUCAUCCGCUACUUCUGCACCGAGCGUGACCGCCAGUUCAUCUACAUCGCCACCGAGCUGUGUGCAGCCACCUUACAGCAGUAUGUGGAGGACCCGAGCUGUCUGUAUUCCAAACUGGACCCUGUGACCCUGCUGGAGCAGACCAUGUGUGGACUCAAUCACCUCCACUCCCUCAACAUCGUCCACAGAGACCUGAAGCCUCGUAAUAUUCUCCUCUCGGCUCCGGGAGCGCUCGGCCGAGUGCGAGCCGUGAUCUCUGAUUUCGGGUUGUGUAAAAAACUUCCGGACGGUCGGCACAGUUUCAGCCUGCGCUCCGGAAUCCCGGGAACGGAAGGCUGGAUCGCUCCGGAAUUACUCAUGGGUGACGAGAAGGGAAACCCUACGAGUGCAGUGGACAUUUUCUCAGCAGGCUGUCUGUUUUAUUACGUCAUAUCCAGAGGACAGCAUCCGUUCGGGGACACGUUACGUCGCCAAGCUAACAUCCUCUGUGGAGUGUACAGUCUGGAGAAUUUCAUGGAGGAUAUACACGAGGACGUCAUUGCCAGAGAUUUGAUAGAGAUGAUGAUCAGCUCAGAUCAGGAGUCCCGCCCCUCCACCGCCUCCGUCCUGAAACACCCGUUUUUUUGGAGGCCGGACAAACAGCUCCAGUUCUUUCAGGAUGUCAGUGAUCGUAUAGAAAAAGAACCAGCAGAGAGCGCUAUUGUGGUCCGUUUGGAGACGUCGGGCCGAUCAGUGGUCAGAACCAACUGGAGGAUGCACAUCUCAGCGCCCCUACAGGCCGAUCUGAGGAAGUUCCGCACAUAUAAAGGAAACUCGGUCAGAGACCUGCUCAGAGCCAUGAGAAAUAAAAAGCAUCAUUAUCAUGAACUCCCCCCUGAGGUCCAGGCGACGCUGGGUGAAGUCCCAGAAGGCUUUGUGGCGUACUUCACCUCACGCUUCCCGCGGUUACUUCUGCACACACACACUGCACUGAGCAUCUGCACCUCUGAGAGACUGUUCCACCCUUAUUACCACAACUAAUCACACACACACACACACUGAACUAAUCCCCAGCCAUACUGCAGGUGAAGAUGUAAAGCAGAACACCACGGGGUUCAUUCAGGAUUUUUCAGAAUGCUGGGACAGACACUAACUCAUGGAUCCGGAAGACUUUCAGGAAAACGCUGCUGUCUCCAGUGGAACUGCUGAUGUCCUCGUCCAUAACGUCCAGCUUUUUAGUAUUGUUUUUCUUCAGGAGGCCAGUCCUGAUGCUCUGAAUGAUGACCGCUUGGUGGUCUAAGCAGUGGUUUGGUUUAAGCUUAUUAAGCCUUUAGAGCUGUGAAGUGGACAGUAAGAAGCUUCAGCUGUUGUGGUUGUUCAGCAGGAGUGUGUGUUCUGUUGCUUCGCUGUAAUCACAGGGAAACAGCUCUCUGAGGGUUUACACCCUAAAUCCCUGACAGGAACGAAGGAGGUUUGAUGAAAAGACACAGCUUGUUUGUUUUAAUCGCCGCUAGACCCUGACCUUGACUGGACCCUGACCUUGACUGGAAGAGCUAGCUGUUACGAGAAUCAUUUAGUUUUAUCCCAAAAACAAAUUCAUCUAUAAAUCCUUCUCAAGAUUAUUUACACAAUUCUUUCAAAUGUAAUCGGGAAACACCUGAAUACGAUCUUAUACACAGAUCACACUGACACAGUAACAUUCAUUUACUUCAGUAUCUCACACACACUGUUUUAAAAGAAAACAAAUCGAUAAAUUCAUAAAAAUACAAACUAGCUGUUCAAUCAGGAAAGUAAUGGCACCCUGUGAAAGGAGGAAGAGUGUGUGUGUGUGUGUGGUGCUGCAGUAGGGAGAUUACUGGAAUCUUUCUCGCUCUUCAGUCGCCAUUUUGUCUUUGUGGAGGUCAGAGUGGGCGUGGCUUAAUCUAAAGGUGUUCACACGAAAUCAUUCACACCCCGUUUUAUUAAACACCAACCAGACGUGAACAUCCUGAAAACUGUGAUUGUCUCCAUCACUCAGAUAAACACACACACACACACACACACACAGUGCUACAGGACAGUGAGUCUGACUAAAAGCUGGGAGACAAACCAGAAAUAUUUAGCUUAUUAACCUGAAACAGUCGCUGGUGUUUGUCAGAAACUCGGAGCUGAAGCGUGGUGGUGGUGGUGAUGGUGGAGGUGGUGGUGAUGACUGUGGAGAUGGUGGAGGUGGUGGUGAUGACUGUGGAGAU
Hemibagrus wyckioides is the source of this 4227-nucleotide RNA transcript. It is a transcript of the gene named endoplasmic reticulum to nucleus signaling 2, with no coding region annotated. The record is from RefSeq and is a predicted model, not a curated record. The transcript is spliced from 23 exons. NCBI's taxonomy places the organism in Eukaryota, Metazoa, Chordata, Actinopteri, Siluriformes, Bagridae.